Molecule: long non-coding RNA, 1936 nt
Organism: Scophthalmus maximus (turbot)
Lineage: Eukaryota; Metazoa; Chordata; Actinopteri; Pleuronectiformes; Scophthalmidae
Exons: 3
Source: RefSeq, a predicted model, not a curated record
CUCUGUAACCAUGACGAUGAACAUCCUCUAACCUUGAGGAAAGUACUUGUCCUGAACCAAACCACAAUCCUUUCUUAAAUCCAAACCCGAGUGGUUUUUUUGUGCCUAAACCUAAACAUAAGUUUCACUGCGUGUUUGUGACUGUCUCCAUGACAGUGAAGGUCUCGUUUAGGUCGGGUGACUCCGUCGGAAAGAUCCGUGACCCCCAGCGGCCUCGGACUCCUUCAGUGCGUCGACUCCUUUCUGGUGGAAAGACAUCUCGAGGCUCGUGACGGAGGCGUUGCACAGAUCGAAUGAGGAAAUACGUGCGGGAUACAGUAUCAUCGGCUGAGUGAGUGAGUCUCCCUGCUUCUCUCUUCCCUGCACAUCUGAGACACACGGGAGGCCCAGCUUGUUAUGAUGCCACCGCCUGUAGUCCCCGACGUGUGUCUCCACGCCAGACUCUUUCCCAAACCCUGACAGUCGCUGCAGAGGAGAGGAGAGUGCAUCACACCUCGACCAGACGCUGCAGGCUGCUCGGCGCCCUCCACACAUUACCUGGCUCAGUGCGAGAGCAGGUGGAGGAUGAACCUGCCCCGGGACGCCAGGUGACUGUCAGGUCCACCUGCUACCAGAGCUUCUCCCCCUCGGGAGGAGUCAACCUGCCGCCGCUCUACGUCUGCGGCGUGCUGGCCUCGCACCGCACGAUGUUUCGCCACACACAUACGUCUGCACCGAUCGUCUGAUUAGAAACGGAUUCUUCUUUGCAUUGCAACAUUGUCUUUGGCUCUGCAGAAUACAUGAUUCAUUUUCAUGCCAAAAAUACAGUAUUUUGGGGCAGCUGGUGCUAGAAAAGUCUAUUUAUUAUUGUGCAGGGGUUGAAACUAUGUACAAAAAUCAUCUGCAGAUCAGUUGAAUCUGUGAUAUUCUUCCUUUCUUAUGAGGCUCCUCUGGUGGAGUGCUGUUUGCUAGAUGUGUGAACUUGACUGUGGACAACGAUGUAUGUACAGAGUUUUACACUGGAAAACUGUUUUAAAAGUUAUUAAGGAGGGAAGUUUUUCUCUGCUCAUGUAGAUGUGGACACACACGCAAUGACAUCACCACUUUGGAAGACAAUUAUGGUCGAACAUGCGAGUGUGAUGUGGAAACUUCAACCUCCAGUUCAUGUACACUGGCAAAGGGCUUUUCAUUGAAGUUUGAAACAAACGACAACAAACACAUCAUUUUUCAAUGAAGGGGACAUGUUUUUAUUAUUUGUCAUUCGUUAAGCAUGUUAUGUGGGGAAAGAGACUAUUUCAGACAGAAAUUAUUAUUCCAAAGCAGAGUAUUUCAAAAAAAAAAAACAUGUCUAGAGGGAAUUACUAUUCACUUAAAAACUUAAAGCACUUUUUUUUUUUUAAAUCUAUAGGAACAAGAGUGACGAGUGCACCUGUAUGAAACGUAUCCGCCUCGCGACCUUGGUCUUUCUCCACUGUUAGCACAGGGAGCAGGAUGUGUUUGCUGCGUCCUUUUUUGAAAAUCCACUACCCAGCCCGUUUUGUCAACACCGUCCACCAAUCUUAUGAGGACGUGACGGAGGGCGACCUUCGGUGGCCAGUCGGCCGCUUCUCACACACUGAACAAUGCAAACAUAUGCGAGUCCAACUAACCGAAAACUGCUGGAACAAAUAAGGCAAUGGGAAAAUACUCCUGCAAGUCCUGCAUUAAAUUGAAUUCCGAAAAUCAUACUCAUCAAAUCGAAAAACAAAUCAAUAUGCAUACUAAGACUUUAAUUUCACACAUUAAUGCAUUAUUAGCAAUAAUACAUUAAUGUGUGAGCAGGAUUUUAACGUAGUGGGCGAGGUGACUACUUAAUAUACUGCUUGCAAAUCUUUCAGGUACGCCAUAAGCCCAAGGUUUAAAUGACAAGUGGCGAUUCGUUUGAUUGAAUUGUUCAUUUUGUACUGUAAUAUACACA